GGGGCCUUAGCUCAGUUGGCAGAGCGCCUGCUUUGCAAGCAGGAAGUCAGGGGUUCGAAUCCCCUAGGCUCCACCA
Molecule: transfer RNA, 76 nt
Filed under: Sphaerisporangium corydalis
Lineage: Bacteria; Bacillati; Actinomycetota; Actinomycetes; Streptosporangiales; Streptosporangiaceae
Also listed under: 5 other names
Description: tRNA-Ala
Rfam family: tRNA
About the family: Transfer RNA (tRNA) molecules are approximately 80 nucleotides in length. Their secondary structure includes four short double-helical elements and three loops (D, anti-codon, and T loops). Further hydrogen bonds mediate the characteristic L-shaped molecular structure. tRNAs have two regions of fundamental functional importance: the anti-codon, which is responsible for specific mRNA codon recognition, and the 3' end, to which the tRNAs corresponding amino acid is attached (by aminoacyl-tRNA synthetases). tRNAs cope with the degeneracy of the genetic code in two manners: having more than one tRNA (with a specific anti-codon) for a particular amino acid; and 'wobble' base-pairing, i.e. permitting non-standard base-pairing at the 3rd anti-codon position.
Source: RNAcentral